CUACGGUGAAUACGUUCCCGGACCUUGCACACACCGCCCGUCAAGCCAUGGAAGCUGGGUGUACCUAAAGUCGGUAACCGUAAGGAGCCGCCUAGGGUAAACUAGUAACUGGGGCU
Molecule: ribosomal RNA, 116 nt
Filed under: uncultured bacterium
Lineage: Bacteria
Description: partial 16S ribosomal RNA
Rfam family: Bacterial small subunit ribosomal RNA
Source: RNAcentral